This 830-nucleotide ribosomal RNA is filed under the name uncultured marine Geminigeraceae. RNAcentral's name for it is "SSU rRNA". It matches the Rfam family "Eukaryotic small subunit ribosomal RNA", at positions 443 to 1287 of the family's 1831-position model. Lineage: Eukaryota; Cryptophyceae; Pyrenomonadales; Geminigeraceae. The record is from RNAcentral.
ACCCAAUCCCGAUUCGGGGAGGUAGUGACAAUAAAUAACAAUACAGGGCCAACGGUCUUGUUAUUGGAAUGAGAACAAUUUAAAUAACUUAACGAGGAUCAAUUAGAGGGCAAGUCUGGUGCCAGCAGCCGCGGUAAUUCCAGCUCUAAUAGCGUAUAUUAAAGUUGUUGCAGUUAAAAAGCUCGUAGUCGGAUGUCGGGCUCGGGCAGGCUGUCGGCUUCGGUCGGACGGCAGGCUCGGGUCUUUCUGCCUGAGGAACCCGUUGCACUUAAUUGUGGGGCGUGGGGACGCAGGCCGUUUACUUUGAAAAAAUUAGAGUGUUCAAAGCAGGCCUACGCUUGAAUACAUUAGCAUGGAAUAAUGGAAUAGGACUUUGGUGCUAUUUUGUUGGUUUAUGGGACCGAAGUAAUGAUUAACAGGGACAGUUGGGGCCGUUUAUAUUUCGUUGUCAGAGGUGAAAUUCUUGGAUUUACGAAAGAUAAACUUCUGCGAAAGCAUUCGGCAAGGAUGUUUUCAUUGAUCAAGAACGAAAGUUAGGGGAUCGAAGACGAUCAGAUACCGUCGUAGUCUUAACCAUAAACUAUGCCGACUAGGGAUCAGUGGAUGUCAAUUUGCGACUCCAUUGGCACCUUGUGAGAAAUCAAAGUUUCUGGGUUCCGGGGGGAGUAUGGUCGCAAGGCUGAAACUUAAAGGAAUUGACGGAAGGGCACCACCAGGAGUGGAGCCUGCGGCUUAAUUUGACUCAACACGGGGAAACUUACCAGGUCCAGACAUAGUAAGGAUUGACAGAUUGAAAGCUCUUUCUUGAUUCUAUGGGUGGUGGUGCAUGG